Molecule: long non-coding RNA, 494 nt
Filed under: Lathyrus oleraceus (garden pea)
Lineage: Eukaryota; Viridiplantae; Streptophyta; Magnoliopsida; Fabales; Fabaceae
Description: Pisum sativum (pea) long non-coding RNA (PSAT_LNC021044)
Source: RNAcentral
UCAGGUAUCGGUAGCAACGCAUCCUUAUCUAAUACAACAUCAAACGAUACUUUAAGGUGUCCAUCCGGAGCGGUCUAUGGUGAAGUAAAUCUCCCGAAGUGUUGUGCACUUUUCCCUUGCCAACUAGGCGAUAAGUCGGUGACGAUAAGUAUAGCUGACAAGAUGAAAUGCCCUAAACCAAUAAUAAAUAUGUUACUUUUAAUGUGUAUAUAUUUCAAUUAACAUAAAUGUGCUAUUUUAAUUUCAAAAUAACAUAUAUAAUUACCUCGGGAAAUUUAUUUUGACAAAUUGAUACUGGCUUUCUCACUAGUUUCUUUCAACUGUGAACUGCACUUUUCCAUACAACCUAUAUCUCUCAUUAUCCUUUUGCAAUUGAAGAACUUGCGCUUGUAAUGCCUGCAACGUCUCCAUCACUUCUUGAUUGCUAGGAUUUCUUCUCCUUGGAUUCUUAUACAAGGAAGUUGGAGUACAACCAUGCCCUUUACCCCUCACCC